Molecule: small nuclear RNA, 22 nt
Filed under: Arabidopsis thaliana (thale cress)
Lineage: Eukaryota; Viridiplantae; Streptophyta; Magnoliopsida; Brassicales; Brassicaceae
Description: snRNA_04022
Source: RNAcentral
UAUAAUCAAGUGAAUAGUUUAA